CCUACGGGUGGCAGCAGUGAGGAAUAUUGGUCAAUGGGCUUACGCCUGAACCAGCCAAGUCGCGUGAGGGAAGACUGCCCUAUGGGUUGUAAAUCUCUUUUGUCAGGGAGCAACGCCGGCUACGUGUAGCCGGACUGAGAGUACCUGAAGAAAAAGCAUCGGCUAACUCCGUGCCAGCAGCCGAGGUAAUACGGAGGAUGCGAACGUUAUACGGAGGUGGUGGGGUUAAAGGGUUCGUAGGCGGAAUGCCAAGUCAGCGGUAAAAUCGCGGGGCUCAACCUCGCUCCGCCGUUGAACCUGGCGUUCUUGAGUGGGCGAGAAGUAUGCGGAAUGCGUGGUGUAGCGGUGAAAUGCAU
Molecule: ribosomal RNA, 356 nt
Filed under: uncultured bacterium
Lineage: Bacteria
Description: partial 16S ribosomal RNA
Rfam family: Bacterial small subunit ribosomal RNA
Source: RNAcentral